GAGUCACGAGGAGGGCGGCCCGGCCGCGCCUCUAGCCCCGGCUCGGGCCCUCAGCCCUCCGCCCCGGCCCGCAUACAACGCUGUCUGCACCGCUCCCCUGCCUUCUUCCGGGCUCCCAGAGCACCGCUAUGGAGAUGCUCUCCCGGCAUUUGAGGAAGAAUUGAUUGUCCUCAUCCUGCAACUGUACUUGCCCAACCGAUAUUUAUUGAUGCCUGCAGUGUCCUGGGUGCCUACCAAGGGGCACAGAACUGGAUCCGACGCAGACCCUGCCUGCCUUCAGGUUGCUUGAAGAUGAACAGAGAGAUCGGACCUCUGCGAUAUAAGCUUAUGAGAGCCGAGACUUUUAUCCUCCCCUGCUUAUCUCCAGUGUGCAGAACAGACACCUGAGUAAAAUUAUUAAAUGAAAGAAAUGAACGUAAGGAGUUUUUAGACGGAAUGACAUUCAAAGCAUCUGUGACACUUUCAGAGACAACAUAGCACAGUACUUUCACAGAGUAGUCCCUUAAGACUUGCUGAAGUUUAUUUGCAAAGAGGUAAACUAUUAUCUGAACCCCAAAUAGGUAGCAAUUCAAAAUUACUAGCCUUCUUUCUUCUAAGACCCAGGAGUUAUGCUCCUAGAAUUUUCCUCUAAACUUUGCUUCUGUCCAAAGGGCAGUUACCAAUUUAUUUCCCACUUCCCAAACUUCCUAGUUUCAUAUGACCCAAGUCCUCAUCCCUGCGAACAAUUCCAUUCUACACCCUUGAAUAUCCCAGUGAGUUGAGUGACACAUAGCAGGCAUUCAAAUUAGUGCUAAGCCAAUAAAGUAAACUGUACCCUACCCCUUGAAAUCCUCCUGUUUCCAACACUUUACUCAUCUACUUAACUUAGAUCUUGAAGCCACGAAUGAAGAGAUACAGCGUUAACAGUAAGCUUUCAUUUUAAAAAGUGAAAACAAUGUAACCACCUUGAUAUGCCCUCGAGCUCUUUAAGCUGUAAUUCUACUUUAUGAAAUAUACACAAAAUAAGAAUUGACACAGACAGACUAAGGAAUGGGGGCUGAAAAGCCACAGCCAAAUUCGCUAUGAAUCUCCUACUUUGGGGAUUAGGCUCACUCAGCUACUUCAUAGCCCACUUGGAAAUUCGGUCAUUUUUCCAGUUGCUCUUUGUUGGAGGGAAACUUUCUUAACAAGAUUCUGAGGACUCCAUAAAAACCGUAAGGUGGGAGGAAUUGGGAUCUGAAGGUCCUUGGCAAACAUGUCCACUGCGGCUGCUGGAGGCAAAGCAACGGAAGUUGAAGAGACUUUGCAACAGCUGCAAGAGUUUCACUCCCGGUGCGGAGAAGGGUAGCGGAGCUAGGCUACCCCACCCGGGCGGCGUCCAGCAGCCAGGUCCCUGCUGAACCCCGAGGCCCACCUCGCUGGACCCCGGACGGGCCCCAUCUGUUUCCCCUCCUUCCCCACGCUACGGCCCGCUGGGGAACGGGGCAGCGCCGGGGAGCACGACGAGGGCACGAGGUACCCUCUCCUAGCCCAGGCUCACCCUUGGUCAGCGUGUCCAGCACCCCCGACUUCUCCAAGUACCUCCGGAACUGCUCACGCUUCGAGUCGGCGGCCUGAAGAGACACCGGGGGUCAGUGGCCAGAGCCCGGGAGCCGAGCAGGAAGAAGGCGCUGGGAGUCCGGCAACCCCGCCUCCGCCUCACUACCUCGGGGCCCUCCCGCCCAAACCUGCGCGCGCGACCCCACUCCCACCCAGAGCCGACCAGCGGCUUGCUACCGCCCGCAUGCCCCCAGCCACGCCGCGCCCCCCUCACUUUGUAAUGGGCCAUAGUGACAGCGGCAGCGGCGUAGCUGGCGCCGGAGACCGCGACUGGCGGGUUGGGAGCAGCACUGCUCAUGCGCGGAAGGGGGCGCGCGCCUGCGCACUUGCAAACCACCGGCCGGGAUCGCCGAGGUGUGGCCUGUUUUCAUGGCGACCAGGACGCUCUGCAUCCCCAGUAGCAGGCUGAGCCGAGGGAGGCUGCGUAUGCCCGCCCCUCUGGCUGUCGGAGCCGCACCUCUUCCUCUUCCGGCCCCCGUAGCAAUUAGGUUUCUUUGCAGGAGGUGAGAUUUUGGUACCUCUGUCCUGGCGUCCGGAGGCAGGGCCCGGGAGCAUUGAGACUAUUGCGAGAGAAAGGACCGCCGCACGGUGGUAGCGAGCGCAUCUUUUUCAUCUGGGACCUCGGAAACUGUGGUGACCCAUAGGUGCUGGGCUUCUUGGCUCUCGUCCUGAGAAAGUGCUCACAGUGCUUUGCAGUAGCCGAGGAGGGUGUUUAGAAUCAUAUAUUUUGGCUUCAGCUUUUAUCUUUGGAGUCUCCUUGAGUCGUGGCUGACUUGAUGUGGGCCUCUGGAGGAUGAGCAGUAACGAGCUUGCAGUAGCUUUUGAGCCAGGCACUGUAGAAAACACGGGUAUUUUAAAUUUUAAUCCUUACAACACCCCUGUAGGGUGGGUAUUGUUAAUUAAGUGGAGUGGUUAGAUGUCCAGUGAGUAGAGUCGAGUCCAAUCCGGGCAAUGAAUCACGAUGCUAUGAACUGGUGAAGGAAAGCCACGGAUCUUCUUAAGAUUUUAUUUACUAGGUAGCAACAUGUGAUUAUACUCAAGACACAUCAGGAUGCCAGUCUAGAAGGAAACUUACGUGAUUGUGUUCCAGGGGCAAACAGAAUUAACCCAGUGUCCAAGGUGGAAUUGUAUAGAUCAAGAACCAUUUCCUAAGGCUGUGGUCUCUUCAAAGAGAAAACCUGAUCAAACCAUUUAGCCUCAAUUCUGAACAUGUGAUUUUCCCAAAAUCAGUUACAUUCGAAAGGAUAUCAUUUAAAAAAAAAAAAAUCCUGAUUUGACAACUCUAUGUCUUUGAAUUUAGAAGUGUUGCUUCACAAUCUCGAAUUAGAGCUGUUUUUCUCUUGCUUAAAUGAGUUUGCAGUUGUCUGUCUUAACAGCUGGUCUUUAGAGCUGCCCCUAUCUAUUUUUUCUGUGCCCCACGACCACUAGGCUACUUCUCUGAUAAUAUAUAUAAUGUCUAAAAGCCAACCGCUGUUUAGAUCUGAAGAUCUGUGGGAACCCGCCUACCAAUGAGAUUGUUCGUUAGGGACACUACGUGAUUUGGAGGACAAACAGGAUUAUUACAGGUUCUGACCAACCCUGGCUCAAAGGACAGCCCUCCCAAAGAAUCAGCAGUGUUUGGAAUGUCAAGUGAUUGAGAAUCUCCUUGUGAAGGAGGAAGGGUUCUGACUGUGCCCUUUCUGAACUGGCCCUUGAGGUUACCUUUAGGAGGUGACCCCCGGUUUUCAUGUUCUGUAGAGGAACCCCAUGUAGCUCUAAGCCACCGCGGUUUCCAAUCGCAGUUAGCUGGCAAGGAGAAAACUGUUUGGGGUGACUGCCUCAUGUUGUUCUCUCCAUCUAUAGCAACACCUGGAAUAGAACGGUGACCUCUAGAGUAGUAGUUCCUUUUGCUGUCUUUGCCUUCAGUUUCUCUUUUUUCCAUUAACUGGUUACCAUUAAGUUCUUUUCCAAAUAUUUUAUGAGUGUCUUUGUUAUUGUUUGAACUGAUGUGUUGAAAAUGACUACAACUAGUACUAAGUGUGGAAAUCUCAUUAGAAAGUACAGUUUCCUGUUCAUCCAAAAUGCAUUUCUCAUCAUUUACACUAUGAUUGUCAGGAUUUGGCUGGAAUACAGAAGAUGAAUUUAAACUAGGGUACACUGCAGUGUGUGUUUGCUUUUCCACUAACAGAUUAUAAUCAGGGGCAGAAGGGAGUCGCUUCAGUGAAUUUGCAGAUGUGCUCUGGUAUUUGGCUACAUUUUGUUUUGCCUUGUUUGCAUGGAAUUCAUUAUGUUCCUUCUUCAACUUGUAUUUUCCCCAAAGCCCUCUUUUAAUCUUUUUAAAACCUAGGUGGAAAAUUUCAAGAAUGUUUAAGAAAAGUGAAAUAGUGGCUAUAGAUUGCAUAAAUAAUAGGAAUAUUGUCUUUUCUGUUGGUCUUGAGACAAAACAGUCGAUUAUAUUUGGACACGGGUGGCCAUGGCACUUAAAUAGCGGCUCUAAGUGAAAUCCAUAUAAAAGGUACUGUCCAAUCAUGAAUCCAACUUCAACCACAGAGCGAGUGAAAAUGUGUAUCACAUAAGUGCAAAGCAAGGUUCCUCUGAGUGGAGCUUUAUUUAGUUUCCUUUUCUCCAGCUGACAAAGCUCUUGCUCCAAUCUCCUCCGAUCCCUAGGCAUUUCAAACUCUACCUCCUCCAGUUCUACUCUUAACUGAGCUUUCAUCCUUUGCCUCUCUUCCUCAAGAACUCUCAGUCGGUACAAUGCAUGGCCCAUGUAGACCAGGGAUGGUGAAGACACAAAUAUCACCUGCAGAACCCAGUAUCUAAUGAGGGAGAUAGGAAAGGCCUGGUCGUAGCAUACAUUUCUGCAGCCUGGUUGUUCUGUAUUGCAGAUGAAGCCAGACUGCUCAUCAUUCCAGACAUCUUCAGCUGCUACACCCAGAACAAGCAUUCGAAAUAUGAACAGGAUGGUGAGCCAGAUCUUUCCAAUCAUGGUGGAGUGGAUGUGAACUUCCUCCAGAGUAUCUCCAAGGAGAUUCCAGUCCCCCAUGUUUAUUUAGUCAGCCAUCUUAGCUCUGAUCCACAUCAAAUAAGAGGCAGAUAAAUUCUUCCAUUCUGAAGGGAGCACUAUUUCUUAAAGCAAACCUAUGGUGAAAAUAUAACAAUAUGUCACUUCUAUAUGCUGGUUGCUUUACUUUUUCCCUAGAUAGCUGUGGGGUUUUUUCUUUGUUUGUUUGUUUGUUGAGACAGAGUCUCCCUCUGUUGCCCAGGCUGGAGUACAGUGUUGCAACCACAACUCCCUGCAGCCUCAACCUCCCAGACUCAAGCGAUCAUCUCCCCUCUCAGCCUCCUGAGUAGCUGGGACUGCAGGUGUGUGCAACUACACCCAGAUAAUUUUUUUUAUUUUUUUGUAGAGACAGGGUCUCACUCUAUUGCUGCAGCUAGUCUUAAACUCCUAGACUCAAGUGAUCCUCUUGCCUUCACCUCCCAAAGUGUGGGAAUUACAGGUGUGGGUCACCACACCUGGCCAAAGUGUGAAUCUGUUACCAAUAAUAUACUUAAAUGUCAGGAAUUUAAAAUCACUUAUAUUUAGACAUCACAAUACAAUGAAAAAAACAUGAUACCUGGAGGAGGAGUGUAUAUAUUCUCUAUUAAGAAUAUAGGCUGGGCGGGGUGGCUCACACCUGUAAUCCCAACACUUUGGGAGGCCAAGGUGGGUGGAUCAUUUGAGGUCAGGAGUUCCAGACCAGCCUGGCCAACAUGGUAAAACCCCGCCUCUACUAAAAAUACAAAAAUUAGCCAGGCGUGGUGGCAGGCGCUUGUAGUCCCAGCUACUCGGGAGGCUGAGGCAAGAGAAUCGCUUGAACCUGGAAGGCAGAGGUUGCAGUGAGCUGAGAUCAAACCCUUGACCUCAGAUGAUCUGGCCACCUCGGCCUCCCAAAGUGCUGGGAUUACAGGCAUGAGCCAAUGCGCAUGGCCUAAAAUUAUAUUCUUUUUUUUUUUUUUUUUGAGACGGAGUCUCACUCUGUAGCCCAGGCUGGAGUGCAAUGGCAUGAUCUCAGCUCACCGCAACCUCCACCUCCUGGGUUCAAGCGAUUCUCCUGCCUCAGCCUCCUGAGUAGCUGUGAUUACAGGCAUGCACCACCAUGCCCGGAUAAUUUUGUAUUUUUAGUAGAGAUGAUGUUUCUCCAUGUUGGCCAGGCUGGUCUCGAACUCCUGACCUCAGGUGAUCUGCCCACCUCGGCCUCCCAAAGUGCUGGGAUUACAGGCGUGAGCCACCAUGCCCAGCCUAUUGUUGUUUUUCAACAGAACUUUUGGAAAGGUUUCUAAAACUAGUAACCUGAUCUUAACCUUAUUUAUUAAGAUUAUUUGAUAUAAAAGUUAUAACAAAGUCAAUUUCUUUUUCCCCAACAUGCCAUUACUGGCUUGAAAAGUCAGUGAUUUUUUUUUCUUUCUUUCUUUCUUUUGGGACAGAGUCUUGCUCUGUCGCCAGGCUGGAGUGCAGUGGCGCAAUCUCGGCGCAUUGCAACCUCCGCCUCCUGGGUUCAAGCGAUUCCCCUGCCUCAUCCUCCUGAGUAGCUGGGAUUACAGGCGCCUGCCAACACCCCCCGGGAUAAUUUUUUGUAUUUUAGUAGACACGGGGUUUCACCAUGUUGGCCAGGAUGAUCUCGAUCUCCUGACCUCGUGAUCCACCCGCCUCAGCCUCCCAAAGUGCCAGGAUUACAGGCAUGAGCCACCGUGCCCGGUCAAAAAGUCAGUGAUUUUUAAAUCUCAUUUAUACACAUAGGAAAACGAAUAUGCUUCAUUUGAUAAUUCAGUAAGAUAUGGCAUUCAGUGAAACCAGAGGAAACAGAUCUGGCUGUCAUAGGAAUUUAGAUUAGUUUUUUUAAUCCAAAUUGAAAUAAAUUUGAAAUAAAUUCUGGUUUCUUCCUGGCAAUUGGUGAACAUUUUCAGAAAUUCAUCUCAGUAAUAUUUAUGAAUAUGUAUAAAGUACUUAUUAUACUUUACUAUGAAAAAGUAUACUUUUUUUCUUUUUUUUUGGUGGGGGGAGACAGAGUCUCACUCUGUUGCCCAGACUAGAGUGCAGUGGCAGGAUCUCAGCCCACUGCAACCUCCACUUCCCAGGUUCAAGUGAUUCUCGUGCCUGAGCCUGCCAAGUAGCUGAGACUACAGGCAAGUGCCACCACGCUUGGCUAAUUUUUGUAUUGUUAGUAGAGACGGGGUUUCACCAUGUUGGCCAGGCUGGUCUUGAACUCCUGAACCUUGAGUGAUCCACCCGCCUCGGCCUCCCAUAGUAAGCCACCGCGCCCAGCCCAAAUUUUGUAAAUUCUUACGUUAAAAUGAACUUCAAGCCCAGCACAGUGGCUCACACCUGUAAUCCCAGCACUUUGGGAGGCCGAUGCGGAUCACCUGAGGUCAGGAGUUCGAGACCAGCCUGGCCAACAUGGUGAAACACUGUCUCUACAAAAAUACAAAAAAUUAGCUGGGUGUGGUGGCAGGCAUCUGUAACCCCAGCUACUCAGGAGGCUGAGGCAGGAGAAUCACUUGAACCUGGGAGGCAGAGGUUGCGGUGAGCCAAGAUCGCGCCAUUGCACUCCAGCCUUGGCGACAAGAGCAGAAACUCUGUCUCAGAAAACAAAAAGAACUCCAAAAAUUCUCAACUAUUUUAUGGUACCAGAAUCUUUUUUUUUUUUUUUUUUUUGAGACGAAGUUUCCCUCUUGUUGCCCAGGCUGGAGUGCAAUGGCACAAUCUCGGCUCACCGCAACCUCCACCUCCCAGGUUCAAGUGAUUCUCCUGCCCCAGGCUCCAGAGUAGCUGGUAUUACAGACAUGCGCCACCAUGCCCAGCUAAUUUUGUAUUUUUAGUAGAGAUGGGGUUCCUCCAUAUUGGUCAGGCUAGUUUCGAACUCCCAACCUCAGGUGAUCCACCUGCCUCGGCCUCCCAAAGUGCUGGGAUUACAGGCGUGAGCCACUGCGCCCGGCCUUAUGGUACCAGAAUCUCAUUAUAGAUAUUACUUGCAAUAGAUUGUUCACUGGUAUGGUGGCAGUAUUAUGGAAACUUUCACUGUAGCAGUAUUUGACCUAUUUAAGACAUAUAGCUGCUCUCUUGAAGGAAGCAGUGGGGCAAGUUAUAAUUUAGCUGCUUGGAUUAUUUGCCGGCAGAUUGCAUAUUAAGGUUGGUAUCCCAGGUUAUCUCAGAGGAAAUAUACCCCAAAGGAAAGAUUUUAAAAGUGAAUAUUUUCAUUAUUUUUCAUUUAAAAUAUAAAUGUAUGUCCUGUCCCCUUUAUAUAAAGGGAACUGUUACACAAUCAAACAAACUACUAAGAUACAAGAUGUGUUCAUCACUAAAAUCCUAUGCGGUAAGUAUGUUGUUUCCCCCAUCUUACAGAUGAGGAAACGGAAGCACACCUUAAUUUACCUGAGGUCACACAGCUGGAGCUGGCAUUCAAACCCAAUCAUUGUGGCUUUAGAGUCAGCUCCUUAAAUUUUUUACUAAACUAUUAUUUUUCCUCUGUAAGCAAACUUCAAAUUUGCCGGAAAGAAACAUUAAGAGAUUAUCUGUUUUCUCUUAAGUUUAAUCAUUUAAAUUUAGGAAUGUAAAAUAGUGAUAGCUUUGGCUUUUUAAAUAACUAGUUCUAGAGUCUUUAGUUCCUUUCUUCAGCCUUUGUUCUGUUUUUUUUGUUCGUUUGUUUUCUGAGACGGAGUCUCGCCCUGUCGCCCAGGCUGGGGUGCAGUGGCGCGAUCUCGGCUCACUGCAAGCUCCGCCUCCCGGGUUCACGCCAUUCUCCUGCCUCAGCCUCUCCGGGUAGCUGGGACUACAGGCGCCUGCCACCACGCCCGGCUAAUUUUUUUGUUAUUUUUAGUAGAGACGGGGUUUCACCGUGAUCUCGAUCUCCUGACCUCGUGAUCCUCCCGCCUCGGCCUCCCAAAGUGCUGGGAUUACAAGCGUGAGCCACCGCGCCCGGCUCUGUUAAUACGAUUUGCAAAAGCAUCAACCUUCUAAAAUAUAGUUGUAUUCCUGAAAUAGAGAAACUUUCCAUUGACUUUAUUAUGUUAAUAAUAGCAUACUCUGGCCGGGCACGGUGGCUCACGCCUGUAAUCCCAAUACUUUAGGAGGCCGAGGCCAGCGGAUCACUUGAGGUCAGGAGUUUGAGACCAGCCUGGCCAACAUGGUUGAAACCCUUGCUCUACUAAAAAUACAAAAAUUAGUCGGGCGUGGUGGCGGGCGCCUGUAGUCCCAGCUACUCGGGAGGCUGAGGCAGAAGAAUCACUUGAACCCAGAGGCAGAGGUUGCAGUGAGCCGAGAUCACACCAUUGCACUCCAGCCUGGGCGACAGAGCAAGACUCUGUCUCAAAAAAAAAUAAAUAAUAAUAAUAAUAAUAAUAAUAAUAAUAAUAAUAAUAGCAUACUCUGACCCAACAACCCAAAGCACUUUAAAAUGUAAGCAAGUUGGCCAGGCGCGGUGGCUCACGCCUGUAAUCCCAGCACUUUGGGAGGCACAGGCGGGCGGAUUACGAGGUCAGGAGUUCGAGACCAGCCUGAGCAACAUGGUUGAACCCCAUCUCUACUAAAAAUACAAAAAUUAGCCGGGCAUGGUGGCACAUGCCUGUAAUCCCAGCUACUCAGGAGACUGAGGCAGGAGAAUCGCUUGAACCUGGGAGGUGAAGGUUGCAGUGAGCCGAGAUCUGGCCACUGCAUUCCAGCCUGGGCAAUAGAGUGAGACUCUGUCUCAAAAAAUAAAAAAAAAGUAAGCAAGUUAAGUCUCAUUUAUGGUUCAUAAAUAAUAAUAAUGUAAGCAAAGAUGUAAUUCAUGUUGUUUAUAAUAGUCAUAAGCUAAAAACAUAAAAUAAUAAUACAAGAAAAACUGGUUAAAUAAUCGACUACAUCCACGGUGUGAUACUAUGCAACCAGUAGAAAUGAUAAACAUACAUAAAAUGGCAUUUGAUAUUUCAUUUCAGUGAAAUUGAUGUUAUAAAAUAGAAUAAUAUGGCCCCAUUAUUAUAAGUUUAGUUACAUUUACAGAUGUAUACAAAAAAGUCUAGAAGGAUAUUCAUGAAAAUAUUAACGGUGAUUAGCUCUGGAUGUUGGGAUUACAAAUUAUAUACUUAAUAUAUUGUAAUUACAUGUAUUUUAAUUUUUUACUAUAAGCAUUUUACUUUUAUAAUCAUAAAAAGAAAGAAAAUAUUUUUUUCAUAAAGGACAACACAUAGUAUUUCCUGAAAGAAGGAGCAGUAGUAUUUAGCUACAAAUUAAAGCUUUCAUAGCAAAUGACAUAAAAACUGGUAUACAUAUAUACAGUACCAUAGAAUUCAAAAGAAAAAGAUAAAAACAUUUCAAACAACUCUUUCUUAAUAAGCUAAAACAGAGAGAUUAACACAAACCUUUCUUAGUUUAGGUAAAUCUGAGAAGCAAACCAUGUUUAGAAGUUACAGCAUGGCCAUCUUCAAUUUAUUUUCUGAAUUUGUCCCUUUGCUGGUAUAGAGCAGAUUCAGUUCAGUUGAAUGUAGUGAGUGAGUCAUCCAUCAACUAAAAUCCAUGUCCCUUUCUGCUUAUCCUUGCUUUUAAAACAGCACCAUCCAAUAGAACUUUCUGCAACAAUGGAAAUAUUCUAUCUGUGCUAGCCAAUAAGGCAGCCAGUAGCCAAAUGUAGCUAUUGAACACUUGCAUUAUGGUUUGUGUGUCAGAGCAAUUGAAUUUUUAAUUUUAAAUAAUUUUAAUAAAAAUGUAAAGAGCUGCAUCUACCUAAUGGCUGCUUUUUUGGACAGCACAGAUAAAGAAUGCUUAUAAUAGUCCUGAUAACACACUGCAAUCUAGAAGACUAAAGUCAUGAGCCCCAAAUUAAGCUGAGUGAAUGAUUCCUCCAUAAUUCAGAGAUGUCAAAUUUAAAAUGACAGGAGGUAUUUGUGUGCUGUUUGUAUGCAACUUUUGCCACUGGGGGAACCUAAUAAAAUGUCAUUGUUUUUUGUGCAAUAAACCAUGUUUCUAGAACCAAAAAAGUCUUUCUUACUAGAUAAUAACUUCUUGGUCAUCUGCCUUAAUAAAUGGGUCAUGUCCGAUUUCAUAGAUAGAUCCUGAUUCUGUCUCCCAUGUUCUGUUAUUAACAAUUACAUUGUAUUUUAGGUCAUUAAAGGUCCCUUCAGAGCUAGUGAUCUGGCAGGUUGAGCAUAACAGAUAAAUACUUCUUCCCUGGGCUUUUUUGCCAACAAUAGCUACUUCUCAGAUUAAAUACAAACAUUUCACCAGGGACAAAUAUAUAUAUAUAUAUAUA
This 10820-nucleotide long non-coding RNA is filed under the name Homo sapiens (human). RNAcentral describes it as "HSALNT0291550". Lineage: Eukaryota; Metazoa; Chordata; Mammalia; Primates; Hominidae. The record is from RNAcentral.